UCGGAUUCAUUUCAGUAGCAAAGCAGCAGAGCAAGUAACAACAUCAAUAAGACACUAAACAAAAUUAAGGGUACAACGUCUCGUCUUAUCGGAGAGACUUCUUUGAACGUCUAUUUUGUAACGUUAUGGUCGGGCAUGGGGAGUGAAUUUUUCGUGGAAACGUUUACCCCCUUUCGCCGAUGAGAAAGUCGCCGUAAUUUGCGUUCAUUUGAAGUCGAUCCGGUAAGGCAUCACAUGGAACAUAUUUUUCGCACCACACAAUCCAUUGUGACUUCAUUGGCUUCAUUCUCCGUCGUAAUAUCAGCAUUCUGCAGUUCCAGGAGCUUGAGAAUUAACUGCAAACACUCCUCGACCUUUGGCCACGUAACUCUGGCCGGUGUUAGGUGUAGGAAGUUUAUAAGACUGACGGCCUGAUACGGCUCCAUGGCACAUACGUUGCGCCCCACCCACUCCACUGUAUCUUCGUUGGCCGCUGCAAUGUAUAGCCGCCCAUUGUACUCAGUUACCGGAGUCACCUCAUUAAAAUUUAAACAGCGAACUUUCCUGAAAUCAAAAAAAAAUCCCAAAGAACUUUUCCAACAGAUCGCAAAAGUUUUUAUCACAUUCUGAGGAAGAAACGAUCACAACAAAGAGCCUGUUCUCUGGGAGUAUGUUUACGUAAGGGGGCCGCUGUCCAUUUAUAUCAUUCGGUUCCAUUUCCAUUUCCAAUUUCACCGAGCGUGGUCUGGAUUUAAAGUCGCAGCCUCCCUUGCCGCAUGCCUCCUGCAUACAUCCAUACGAGGAGCUUUGCAAACUCUUCUCACUGGACUCGAGAACCUUUUUGAGAACCUAUUUUCGUACCUUUGGCCUUUUCUUUUAACCCCGCGUUUGCAAUCAAAUGUGGAUGGCUGUAAGUAUUCGCUACUAGAUCCUGAGGAGAGCUCAAUGCCAGAGAGCUGGCUACCAUCCGAUGACUAACUCAAUGCUAGAGUUCGAUGAACUCUGACUAUCAACCAGGACCAUAAUCAUAAUCAGACCAUAAUCAGACCCACAAAAAAGGACGACAACGGAGCAACUUCUGUCAUGAGAUCUGACUCGGCCAACGUUACACCUGAGGCAGAAAUCUCCAAUGUUUCCGGCUGAAUUUUGGGCAGAUAUUCAAGCUCUGUCUUAAGGUCAUAUAUGGUAGCUGAGAUCGAUAGUUUGAUGACCAAUUGAUGGAAAAGAACACUUGGUCACAAUUAUGAAAAAUUUUCAGAAGUAUAGCAAAUUUCUUUUUAUUUUUGAUGUUCACUGUAUGAGUUCACGAAGUAGAAUGAUUGAAGUACUGUACUCUCUGAACGGGUCGAAUUUUACAAACAUCCCAGGACUUCUUGGACUUCAAAAAUUUGUGAUUUGCUUGUCUAGCUGAAAAUACUAUAAUUACAACAUUGUGUAAUUAAAACAUCGUUUGUCCGUUUCUCAUUAAAAUAACCGGUAGAAAUCGUAA
This is a long non-coding RNA of Drosophila willistoni, 1468 nucleotides long. RefSeq lists it as uncharacterized. The record is from RefSeq and is a predicted model, not a curated record. Lineage: Eukaryota; Metazoa; Arthropoda; Insecta; Diptera; Drosophilidae. The transcript is spliced from 3 exons.